GUCCACGCUGUAAACGAUGAGCACUAGAUGUGCGCGGUAUGACCCCGCGCGUGUCGCAGCUAACGCAAUAAGUGCUCCGCCUGGGGACUACGGUCGCAAGACUAAAACUCAAAGGAAUUGACGGGGGCCCCGCACAAGCGGUGGAGGAUGUGGUUUAAUUCGACGCAACGCGCAGAACCUUACCUGGGCUUGACAUCCCACGACCGCCCCAGAGAUGGGGUUUUCCCCGCAAGGGGACGUGGAGACAGGUGCUGCAUGGCUGUCGU
Molecule: ribosomal RNA, 266 nt
Filed under: uncultured bacterium
Lineage: Bacteria
Description: partial 16S ribosomal RNA
Rfam family: Bacterial small subunit ribosomal RNA
Source: RNAcentral